GAUACCAUUAUUUUUGAUAGCUGUCCAUGGUAUUAUAUCAAUUUCAGAUCCACAAAGACCCACACAGUAAAUAGAACUUAGAAAAGAAAAAUUAAAUUGGUUAUUACUUCCUCAUUGGUCCUAAAAUUUUUUUCACAUUGGGGUUAAUAUUGUGCUGUGGGUUGUUUGGGUUACAAUUGGUCUGUUUGUCUCUAGUGAAAAGGAUGGGCCAGUUACAUGCAGACUAGAGGUUAAGAUAAGAUUUUAUCAGAACUAUAGUUCAGCUUCUUUAUUAAUCACUACCAGACUGAGGAUUAAGCAAAAAUAACUGUUCUUAAAAAAUCCCUGAAAGCCACUUAAUUUUCUUAAAGGGAAUAAGAUGUG
This 363-nucleotide long non-coding RNA is filed under the name Bos taurus (domestic cattle). Its description in RNAcentral is "long non-coding RNA NONBTAT000201". The record is from RNAcentral. Lineage: Eukaryota; Metazoa; Chordata; Mammalia; Artiodactyla; Bovidae.